UGAAUACGAGACGCUAAGGCGUCGAAGUAGUGUAUGUCAUACUUCCAAGAAAAGCUUGCACUGUCAUAGAUAAAAAACGCCUGUACCAUAACCGACACAGGUGGGUAGGUAGAGUAUACUAAGGGGCGCGAGAUAACUCUCUCUAAGGAACUCGGCAAAAUAACUCCGUAACUUCGGGAGAAGGAGUGCCUUAUUCGUAAGGUUGCAAUAACAAGAUCCAAGCAACUGUUUAUCAAAAACACAGGUCUCCGCUAAGUCGUAAGACGAUGUAUGGGGGCUGACGCCUGCCCAGUGCCAGAAGGUUAAAGAAGUUGGUUAGCAAUUGCGAAGCUGAUAACUGAAGCCCUGGUGAACGGCGGCCGUAACUAUAACGGUCCUAAGGUAGCGAAAUUCCUUGUCGGGUAAGUUCCGACCCGCACGAAAGGCGUAAUGAUUUGGAUACUGUCUCGGAGAGGGGCUCGGUGAAAUAGACUUGUCUGUGAAGAUGCGGACUACCUGCACCAGGACAGAAAGACCCUAUGAAGCUUUACUGUAACUUGAAAUUGAAAUUGGACUUUAUUCGCGCAGUAUAGGUAGGAGGCGUUGAUUAUAAUCUUGUGGGAUUAUUGGAGCCAUCAGUGAGAUACCACUCUUGUAAUGUUAGAUCUCUAACUUUGAAUCAUUAUCUGGUCAAAGAACAGUUUCAGGCGGGCAGUUUGACUGGGGCGGUCGCCUCCUAAACGGUAACGGAGGCGUACAAAGGUUUCCUCUGAACGGUUAGAAAUCGUAUCUAGAGUGUAAAGGCAUAAGGACUCUUGACUGUGAGACCUACAAGUCGAGCAGGGACGAAAGUCGGUCUUAGUGAUCUGACGGUACUGAGUGGAAAGGCCGUCACUCAACGGAUAAAAGUUACUCUAGGAUAACAGGCUGAUCUCCCCCAAGAGCUCACAUCGACGGGGAGGUUUGGCACCUCGAUGUCGGCUCAUCGCAUCCUGGGGCGGUAGUACGUCCCAAGGGUUGGGCUGUUCGCCCAUGAAAGCGGUACGCGAGCUGGGUUCAGAACGUCGUGAGACAGUUCGGUCCAUAUCCGGUGUAGGCGUUAGAAUAUUGAGAGGAGCCUUCUUUAGUACGAGAGGACCGAGAAGGACAUACCUCUGGUGUACCAGUUAUCGUGCCAACGGUAAACGCUGGGUAGCUAUGUAUGGAGUGGAUAACCGCUGAAAGCAUCUAAGUGGGAAGCCCACCUCAAGAUAAGUAUUCUCAUC
Molecule: ribosomal RNA, 1244 nt
Filed under: metagenome
Description: bacterial LSU rRNA
Rfam family: Bacterial large subunit ribosomal RNA
Source: RNAcentral